ACCAGACUCCUACGGGAGGCAGCAGUGGGGAAUAUUGCACAAUGGGGGGAACCCUGAUGCAGCGACGCCGCGUGGGUGAAGGAGUACUUCGGUACGUAAAGCCCUAUCAGCAGGAAAGAAAAUGACGGUACCUGACUAAGAAGCCCCGGCUAACUACGUGCCAGCAGCCGCGGUAAUACGUAGGGGGCAAGCGUUAUCCGGAUUUACUGGGUGUAAAGGGAGCGUAGACGGCGAUGCAAGUCUGAAGUGAAAGGCGGGGGCCCAACCCCCGGACUGCUUUGGAAACUGUAUGGCUGGAGUGCAGGAGAGGUAAGUGGAAUUCCUAGUGUAGCGGUGAAAUGCGUAGAUAUUAGGAGGAACACCAGUGGCGAAGGCGGCCUGCUGGGCUUUAACUGACGCUGAGGCUCGAAAGCGUGGGUAGCAAACAGGAUUAGAUACCCCAGUA
RNAcentral lists this ribosomal RNA (445 nucleotides) under uncultured bacterium. RNAcentral describes it as "bacterial SSU rRNA". It matches the Rfam family "Bacterial small subunit ribosomal RNA", at positions 330 to 792 of the family's 1533-position model. The record is from RNAcentral.